UGGUGGCGUGAUAAUAUUCAAUUUGCAUCCAAUUUAGGGAGGGACCACUCAUCAGUCAUCACACGACGUCUCCUACCUAGCUGCUAAUUUUUGUUCUUAUUACUAUAUGCCUUAAUUUCCAUAGCUGCGCGCUUUUCCUUCUUCACCUAUAUAUUAUCUCUUAUCUCUUAUCUUUUACACACACACACACACACACACACACACACACAUAUAUAUAUAUAUACAUAUAUAUUCCCAUUCACUUCAUGAAUGCUUAAUUUCUACCUCUAUUUAUACCCCCCCCGUUCCCCACUCUUUUUCCACAACAAAUUAAAUUUACCCAUCAUCUCCAUCACAUUUCACAUACCCUAGCUAAUCAGAGAGAAUUACAUAUAUAAAUUCUUGGCUUUUCUCUGCCGGCCGUCCGUGCAAUAGCCUCCGUUGAAGCUGCCAGCAUGAUCUAAACCUUCCUCGCCCUUAAAAAAGGAAAGAUCAGAUCAUGUGGUAGCUUCACCCGACGCUGCUUGCGCGUAAAACCCUAAUUUUGUUCUAGGGUUUCUCCUCUUGGAAAAAGAAGGUGCAGGGUCAAGUGACGUUAGCUGCAAAAUUCCAAUUCUUUAGGCUCCGGCGGCCGCUGAAUUAGACGUUUGUGGUCAGUUGCAUAUGUUUCUAGAUAGAGUUUUUGUUUACAAAAUUUAACUCAUUUAACUUUUAAUAUUUCUUAGAUAUAUAUAUAAUUCAUAUAUACAUUAAUUCUUCUUUUCUCUCUCUCUCUCUCUCUCUCUCUCUCUCUAUAUAUAUAUAUAUAUAUGUAUAAAUGGUGUAAUUUAAUAAAAUUUUGAUGAUGUUUCCACUCCCCUAUUGUUAUUUUGUUGAGACAUGAUAUGCAGCUUUUGAUGACAGCUAUAUACACAGGGGUUCCGGUGAAUAUAUAUUGUAGUAAGUGUUAGUACAGGGGUCUCUUUUUUUCUGUUUAGAAAUAUAUUUAUGUAAAAUUUAUUGUACAUAAAUGAAGUUGAUGACUAUAUAUAUAUAUAUAUUGAUGUGCAGCUGCCAGAAUGUGAUGUGAGUGGUGUAUGUAUGUACAUUUGUAUGUAUAUAUAUAGAGAUGAGAAUUAUGAGGUAGGUAGUGUAGGGUGUAGGGUGUG
This is a long non-coding RNA of Sesamum indicum (sesame), 1127 nucleotides long. RefSeq lists it as uncharacterized. NCBI's taxonomy places the organism in Eukaryota, Viridiplantae, Streptophyta, Magnoliopsida, Lamiales, Pedaliaceae. The record is from RefSeq and is a predicted model, not a curated record.